GUAAUGCCGGAUGCUCCAUCACACCGCAUGGUGUGUUGGGAAAGCCUUUGCGGCAUGGGAUGGGGUCGCGUCCUAUCAGCUUGAUGGCGGGGUAACGGCCCACCAUGGCUUCGACGGGUAGCCGGCCUGAGAGGGCGACCGGCCACAUUGGGACUGAGAUACGGCCCAGACUCCUACGGGAGGCAGCAGUGGGGAAUAUUGCACAAUGGGCGCAAGCCUGAUGCAGCGACGCCGCGUGAGGGAUGGAGGCCUUCGGGUUGUAAACCUCUUUUGUUAGGGAGCAAGGCAUUUUGUGUUGAGUGUACCUUUCGAAUAAGCACCGGCUAACUACGUGCCAGCAGCCGCGGUAAUACGUAGGGUGCAAGCGUUAUCCGGAAUUAUUGGGCGUAAAGGGCUCGUAGGCGGUUCGUCGCGUCCGGUGUGAAAGUCCAUCGCUUAACGGUGGAUCCGCGCCGGGUACGGGCGGGCUUGAGUGCGGUAGGGGAGACUGGAAUUCCCGGUGUAACGGUGGAAUGUGUAGAUAUCGGAAGAG
RNAcentral lists this ribosomal RNA (532 nucleotides) under Bifidobacterium breve. Its description in RNAcentral is "bacterial SSU rRNA". It matches the Rfam family "Bacterial small subunit ribosomal RNA", at positions 163 to 705 of the family's 1533-position model. Lineage: Bacteria; Bacillati; Actinomycetota; Actinomycetes; Bifidobacteriales; Bifidobacteriaceae. The record is from RNAcentral.